Molecule: ribosomal RNA, 1960 nt
Filed under: metagenome
Description: bacterial LSU rRNA
Rfam family: Bacterial large subunit ribosomal RNA
Source: RNAcentral
UCAAGCUACUAAGGGCAUACGGUGAAUGCCUUGGCACUAAGAGCCGAUGAAGGACGUGGUAAGCUGCGAAAAGCCACGGGGAGCCGCAAGCAGGCUUCGAUCCGUGGAUGUCCGAAUGGGGAAACCCGCCAUCCGUCAUGGGAUGGCAUCCUUCGGGAAGGGAACCCGGUGAACUGAAACAUCUAAGUAGCCGGAGGAAGAGAAAUCAAACGAGAUGCCCACAGUAGCGGCGAGCGAAGAGGGCAGAGCCUAAACCAGAGAGCUUCGGCUCCCUGGGGUUACGGACUGGCAGAAACCGAGUCAGGCCUAGCCGAAUCACCUGGAAAGGUGAGCCACAGACCGUGAGAGCCGGGUAGGCGGAAGGCAGAGCAAGGGGGCCAGUAUCCAGAGUACCGCGAAGCACGAGGAAUUUUGCGGGAAGUCGGGGGGACCACCCUCCAAGGCUAAACACUCCUUAGUGACCGAUAGCGCAUAGUACCGUGAGGGAAAGGUGAAAAGAACCGCGGGAGCGGAGUGAAAGAGAACCUGAAACCGUAUGUCUACAAGCAGUCGGAGCGCAAGCGACGGCGUGCCUAUUGAAGAAUGAGCCAACGAGUUACGGGCACCAGCGAGGUUAAGCAGGAAAUGCGGAGCCGUAGGGAAACCGAGUCUGAAAAGGGCGAUGAGUUGGUGUUCGUAGACCCGAAACUGUAGUGAUCUACCCAUGAUCAGGUUGAAGCACGGGUAAAAUCGUGUGGAGGACCGAACCGGUGAGUGUUGAAAAACUUUCGGAUGAAUCGUGGGUAGCGGUGAAAUUCCAAUCGAACGCAGAGAUAGCUGGUUCUCCUCGAAAUAGCUUUAGGGCUAGCCUCAGGCAGUAAGCAUAGGCGGUAGAGCACUGAUCGGGAUAGGGACUGUAAUGGUUACCGAACCCUGUCAAACUACGAAUGGCUAUGCUGCAGAGCCUGGGAGUCAGACUACGAGAGAUAAGUCCCGUUGUCAAAAGGGAAACAGCCCAGACCAUCAGCUAAGGUCCCCAAUGCCAUACUAAGUGGAAAAGGAUGUGGGGUCUCAUAAACAACCAGGAUGUUGGCUCAGAAGCAGCCACCAUUUAAAGAGUGCGUAAUAGCUCACUGGUCGAGAGGCCCUGCGCCGAAGAUUCCCGGGGCUAAAGUAUGGAACCGAAGCUAUGGAUGCAUGCUCAGGCAUGCGUGGUAGAGGAGCGUUCCCAUCGGGCUGAAGCCGUACUGGAAGGUGCGGUGGACUGGUGGGAAGUGAGAAUGUUGGCAUGAGUAGCGAAAAGAAUGGUGAGAAUCCAUUCCACCGAAAGCAUAAGGAUUCCUGAGCAACGAUCGUCGUCUCAGGGUAAGUCGGGACCUAAUCCGAGGCAAAGAGCGUAGGAGAUGGACAACUGGUCGAUAUUCCAGUACCGGCAGUGAUCGUUUGAACGAAGGAGUGACGCAGGAAGGCAGGUCCGCACGAGAUUGGUAGAUCGUGUGCAAGCGUGUAGGCUGGCAAACAGGCAAAUCCGUUUGCUGAGGCUGAGGCGUGACGCGGAGGGAACUUGUUCCCGAAGGGAUUGAGCCUACGCUGCCGAGAAAAGCUUCUAGUGAGAAAGCUGCCGCCCGUACCGUAAACCGACACAGGUAUGCGGGGAGAGAAUCCUAAGGUGCGCGGGAGAACCCUCGUUAAGGAACUCGGCAAAAUGUACCCGUAACUUCGGGAUAAGGGUAGCCACAAAGGUGAAGGGACUUGCUCCUGGAGCCCGGUGUGGUCGCAGAGAAGAGGCCCAAGCGACUGUUAACCAGAAACACAGGUGCCUGCGAAAGAGAAAUCUGAAGUAUAGGUGCUGACACCUGCCCAGUGCUGGAAGGUUAAAGAAGGAUGUCCGGGUUCGACCCAAAGCAUUCGACUGAAGCCCCAGUGAACGGCGGCCGUAACUAUAACGGUCCUAAGGUAGCGAAAUUCCUUGUCGGGUAAG